UAAGGGACACGUGUUACAAUUAGAGAGAGUUUGGUCUGAAACUCCUUUCUCUCUCUCAACGAGCAAAGAGAUGAUUCACUACUCCUCUUCUUCUUCUCGGUUGAUCUCCUCCUCAGCAACACCAAAGCGUUGAAUUGGCAAAAAGGGCCCAUCUUGUGUUCGAUGAUAUUCCCCAGAGAGAAAAGGCGAAGACUUUUUUGUAUUUGGGAUUUUUGUGUUGUUUUGUGGGAGGGAAUAGAGAGAGAUGGCAGGUGAAGAUUGGAUAGAGCUCAAGUUUAAAUUCGCUGAUGGCCUAAAGCUAACAUAUGUUCCAUCGUUAUGUUUGCUUGUAUAAAAAAAAACUUCAUAUUCUUUAGUUCUUGUUUCUGCCUUUCCAUCAUUUUCUUUGUUUCUGUAAUGUUUUAAUGUCUACCGAACGUUUUAUUGGCUUAAGUUAUUAGGUACUGAACUUUGUAAAUUUGAGAAUUUAACAGAUAAUUAAAAGGUUAUACUGUGGCAAGAAGAUUGAUGACCGAAGUUGUGUAUUGCUUUUCGCUGUUUAGAUGUUUUGUAACCUUGUUUAGAAUUUUCUUGCUGCUUAAGGUUGUGUUGGGACUGAAGUUUUCAAGUGUUUCUCUCUGUUUUGAUAGACUCAGAAAACAUUCCUAAGACUGUAAAUGAUGUGAAGCUCAUCAAUGCCGGGAAGAUACUAGACAACAAUAGGACACUGGCUGAAUCAACGCUUCCCGUUGGCGAACUUCCCGGAAUGGUCAUCACUAUGCAUGUUGUUCUUCGCCCUCCUACUUUAGACAAAAAGAGCCGUAAAUGUUUCUUUGCCUUCCUCCUAUGCUAAUAUAAAAGCAGGCUUCCUUUGAUUCUCUAGUUGCUUGUGAUUAUGGUAUUCAGAUUCCAAACUUCCAUGUUUUGCAAAUGGUUUUAUACAUAUAUUCCUAUAAAUUUUAUCUUAAAUAAAACAAUGCUUAAUUUUU
This is a long non-coding RNA of Brassica rapa (field mustard), 968 nucleotides long. RefSeq lists it as uncharacterized. NCBI's taxonomy places the organism in Eukaryota, Viridiplantae, Streptophyta, Magnoliopsida, Brassicales, Brassicaceae. The record is from RefSeq and is a predicted model, not a curated record.